Molecule: ribosomal RNA, 248 nt
Filed under: Clostridium botulinum
Lineage: Bacteria; Bacillati; Bacillota; Clostridia; Eubacteriales; Clostridiaceae
Description: partial 16S ribosomal RNA
Rfam family: Bacterial small subunit ribosomal RNA
Source: RNAcentral
UCGAGCGAUGAAGCUUCCUUCGGGAAGUGGAUUAGCGGCGGACGGGUGAGUAACACGUGGGUAACCUGCCUCAAAGUGGGGGAUAGCCUUCCGAAAGGAAGAUUAAUACCGCAUAAUAUAGGAGAAUCGCAUGAUUUUCUUAUCAAAGAUUUAUUGCUUUGAGAUGGACCCGCGGCGCAUUAGCUAGUUGGUAAGGUAACGGCUUACCAAGGCAACGAUGCGUAGCCGACCUGAGAGGGUGAUCGGCC